UACGGGGGGGGCAAGCGUUGUUCGGAAUUACUGGGCGUAAAGGGCUCGUAGGUGGCCAACUAAGUCAGACGUGAAAUCCCUCGGCUUAACCGGGGAACUGCGUCUGAUACUGGAUGGCUUGAGUUCGGGAGAGGGAUGCGGAAUUCCAGGUGUAGCGGUGAAAUGCGUAGAUAUCGGGAGGAACACCUGUGGCGAAAGCGGCGCACUGGACCAUAACUGACGCUGAGGCGCGAAAGCUAGGGGAGCAAACAGG
Molecule: ribosomal RNA, 253 nt
Filed under: uncultured bacterium
Lineage: Bacteria
Description: partial 16S ribosomal RNA
Rfam family: Bacterial small subunit ribosomal RNA
Source: RNAcentral